Molecule: long non-coding RNA, 698 nt
Organism: Camelus dromedarius (Arabian camel)
Lineage: Eukaryota; Metazoa; Chordata; Mammalia; Artiodactyla; Camelidae
Exons: 3
Source: RefSeq, a predicted model, not a curated record
AGAAGCCUCUGAGCCCAGGGCAAAGGCAGGCCCACCACAGACAAGCUACAAGGCCUCUCCACAACCCCACUGCCAUGUUGCCCGCCUGGGCCACUCUUGCUGUGGGGAAGCAGGUGCAGGGCUGGAAACCCAGAGGCCUAAUUUCUUCAGUGCUAAAAGGAUUGUGAGAAAUCAGCAGGCUGAAUUUGAAGAGAAAAUAUAACCCCAGAGAGAAAGCAAUUUGGGACUGAGAGGAGCAGAAGAGAAGGGGCAGGGGAAGAAGCCCGUCUGAGAACUGGUAGCCACAGACUGACCCGCAUGCGCUUUGCCACCCCAGGCACAGUAGCCUGGGGGAGACAAGGAACCUCAAGCUGUGAACCUGGUCUGAAAUUUUUCUACCUGUAAGUGUCCCAACUGCCUAUAUAAGAAACAAAUACAAGGCUGGAGGGGGCCACGUCCAUUCCAGACCUUGGGGAAAGCCCCACAAAUAAUUUUUCAAAGCCAGUAACCGUAACCAGGUCAAAAAUGACAAAAUACAUAAAGACAAGAGGGACUAUAAGUCAGAACCAACAGAAGUAGAGCCAUGAUUACUGAAGAUACUGUAAUUAUCAGACAAAGAGGAUAAAGUAAUUACCCUUACUAUGUUCUAAAAAAAUGAACAAGCUGAAAAUAACUUCAGAGAAUAGUAAACUACAGAAAGUGACAUGGCAUUUUUUUAA